This 358-nucleotide ribosomal RNA is filed under the name Staphylococcus aureus. RNAcentral's name for it is "bacterial LSU rRNA". It matches the Rfam family "Bacterial large subunit ribosomal RNA", at positions 1263 to 1615 of the family's 2925-position model. Lineage: Bacteria; Bacillati; Bacillota; Bacilli; Caryophanales; Staphylococcaceae. The record is from RNAcentral.
GUAAGGACAUGUGGAGCGCUUAGAAGUGAGAAUGCCGGUGUGAGUAGCGAAAGACGGGUGAGAAUCCCGUCCACCGAUUGACUAAGGUUUCCAGAGGAAGGCUCGUCCGCUCUGGGUUAGUCGGGUCCUAAGCUGAGGCCGACAGGCGUAGGCGAUGGAUAACAGGUUGAUAUUCCUGUACCACCUAUAAUCGUUUUAAUCGAUGGGGGGACGCAGUAGGAUAGGCGAAGCGGGCGAUUGGAUUGCACGUCUAAGCAGUAAGGCUGAGUAUUAGGCAAAUCCGGUACUCGUUAAGGCUGAGCUGUGAUGGGGAGAAGACAUUGUGUCUUCGAGUCGUUGAUUUCACACUGCCGAGAAA